UACGGAAGGCAGCAGUGGGGAAUAUUGCACAAUGGGCGAAAGCCUGAUGCAGCUAUGCCGCGUGUAUGAAGAAGGCCUUAGGGUUGUAAAGUACUUUCAUCGGGGAGGAAAAAACAAAACUAAUAAUUUUAUUUCUUGACGUUACCCGAAAAAGAAGCACCGGCUAACUCCGUGCCAGCAGCCGCGGUAAUACGGAGGGUGCUAGCGUUAAUCAGAAUUACUGGGCGUAAAGAGCACGUAGGUGGUUUUUUUAAAGUCAGAUGUGAAAUCCCUGGGCUUUAACCUAGGAACUGCAUUUUGAAACUGAAAUACUAGAGUAUCGUAGAGGGAGGUAGAAUUCUAGGUGUAGCGGUGAAAUGCGUAGAUAUCUGGAGGAAUACCUGUGGCGAAAGCGGCCUCCUAAACGAAUACUGACACUGAGGGUGCGAAAGCGUGGGGAGCAAACAGGGAUUAGAUACCCGU
This 462-nucleotide ribosomal RNA is filed under the name uncultured bacterium. RNAcentral describes it as "bacterial SSU rRNA". It matches the Rfam family "Bacterial small subunit ribosomal RNA", at positions 340 to 789 of the family's 1533-position model. The record is from RNAcentral.